Molecule: ribosomal RNA, 253 nt
Filed under: uncultured bacterium
Lineage: Bacteria
Also listed under: 1 other name
Description: partial 16S ribosomal RNA
Rfam family: Bacterial small subunit ribosomal RNA
Source: RNAcentral
UACAGAGGGUGCAAGCGUUAAUCGGAUUUACUGGGCGUAAAGGGUACGUAGGUGGUCUAUUAAGUCGGAUGUGAAAUCCCUGAGCUUAACUUAGGAAUUGCAUUCGAUACUGAGAGACUAGAGUAUGGGAGAGGAUGGUAGAAUUCCAGGUGUAGCGGUGAAAUGCGUAGAGAUCUGGAGGAAUACCGAUGGCGAAGGCAGCCAUCUGGCCUAAUACUGACACUGAGGUACGAAAGCAUGGGGAGCAAACAGG